UCCCUGGUGGUCUAAUGGUUAGGAUUUGGUGCUUUCACCAUUGUGGCCCAGGUUCAAUCUCUGGUCUGGGAA
This is a non-coding RNA of Sus scrofa (pig), 72 nucleotides long. NCBI's taxonomy places the organism in Eukaryota, Metazoa, Chordata, Mammalia, Artiodactyla, Suidae. The record is from Rfam.